Molecule: non-coding RNA, 179 nt
Filed under: Mariprofundaceae bacterium
Lineage: Bacteria; Pseudomonadati; Pseudomonadota; Candidatius Mariprofundia; Mariprofundales; Mariprofundaceae
Description: 6S RNA
Rfam family: 6S / SsrS RNA
About the family: E. coli 6S RNA was the first non coding RNA to be sequenced, but its function was unknown until recently. It consists of 184 nucleotides that fold into an extended hairpin structure with a large single-stranded internal bulge.
Source: RNAcentral
GCGCCCCUGCGUUGAGCGAUUGGCACAACAAGUUGCCUGAGCCGAUAUUUGUCGAAUGGGAGCUUACCUACUCUGGCCGUGUGCGUCCCGAUUCCCGGGAUACCUGAAGCCGGAGUGCGGCGCCCACCUCAUCUAGAGGGUUCGACAACUGGAUGCACAAACGCCAGCGCGGGGGCGCC